GUUAUGCCAAUCAACUUGCAGAGAGAAUGAUUCAUCACAAUGGUUAUCGAACUCUUAGUUUUAAGCCCCAAGUUGUUCAGGUGCAUCCCUCGUCUGUUAUGAAGCCAGACGAAGAAGGGAAAUUUGCCGACUACGUUGUGUACCAUGAGCUCAUUACAACAUCUCGACCCUAUAUGCGCAAUGUCUGUGCAGUACAGGUUGAU
Molecule: unclassified non-coding RNA, 203 nt
Filed under: Hevea brasiliensis (rubber tree)
Lineage: Eukaryota; Viridiplantae; Streptophyta; Magnoliopsida; Malpighiales; Euphorbiaceae
Source: RNAcentral